Acanthochromis polyacanthus (spiny chromis) is the source of this 2009-nucleotide RNA transcript. RefSeq lists it as uncharacterized. The record is from RefSeq and is a predicted model, not a curated record. The transcript is spliced from 11 exons. Lineage: Eukaryota; Metazoa; Chordata; Actinopteri; Pomacentridae.
UCUGGUUAUCAUGAAGUGUUUGAAUCAGAUGUUGUGUUUUCUCCUGCUGGUUUCUGUUCCGUAGGUUUCCUCUCCACGACGCCGCCCUGCUGGCUCGCUGGAUGAAGGCCGUCGGACGUUCUAACUGGAUUCCUCGGCUGCGGUCGUCCGUCUGUUCGACUCAUUUCACUGAGGACUGCUUGGACCGGCGUGGGGAGAAGGUGGUCCUCCGUCCAGACGCUGUUCCUACCCUCAUGGUCCACGGAGACUCGACAGCAUCCAGAGGUCCAAACCAGCCUGCAGGACAGGAGGAGCGAGAUCAGACCUUUUUUGCCAAAUACGACGCCGUGGAGCUUUACCUGAGCAGACGCACCUAUCCGCCCGGACUGAGCUACGUGGAGAAGAACACCUUCAGGAGGUUCUGCAAGAAAUUCACCAUUAAAGACGACAAGCUUCACUCCACCAGAGGAGAUCGACUGCGUUUGGUUCUGAGGAGUCGGCAGCAGGUUGAAGCCGCUCUGACCGAUUACCACAACGAGCUCAAUCACCUGGACGUCAACAAAUGUCUGCGGCUGCUCAACGAGAGGUAUUUCUGGACAACCAUGAAGCCUGAUGUGAUCCAGUGGAUCGACAGCUGUUUCCAGUGCAGCAGGAAGAAGAAUCUGGAGACGCUCAGAUCUCCACCAAUCAGCAGGUUCUCUGUACAUGCUGACAGCGACAAAGACAAUCAGAGCGACGAUGCUGAUGAAGGAGACGUGGAAGAGCCGGAGAACUCAGACCCAGAGAAUGAUGAACAGAUGAACUUAUCGUCUCUCUCCAAGGACGGACCUUCAACCCCCAUCAGCCCUCAGUCCAGGACUCCCAGCGCCCCCCUUGUUUCCAGACUGUCUGUCCAGAGCAGCUGUGAGAGCCAUGUUCAGGUCCAGGAUCCAGAAGAAGACCAGAGAGAAUCCAGCAGCUCUCAGUGUGUCCGACCUGCUGCAGAUCCUCCUCCAGAGAAAACUAACCGUCCAGGUGAACCACAGGCCCAGAAACCAGCACAGAAGCGGCCCAGAGUCCAGCACCCGGCAGAGACCAGUGGUCUGGAGCCCGUCGUGGCCCCGAGUACCAAACCCUGGCCGGUCUUCACCAUCGCUGGUAAAACCCCAGCAAAGACAGAAAGACCAGGUGCUGAGGUGGACAGCUCGGCGACGUUCCGGAGCUGCAGCAGGCGUCAGGCUCGGACCGUCGUCCAGCAGUGCAGCUCGGCUAAGGUGAAGAUCCGACCGGCUCUGGACGGAGGAGACGCUCAGUGGGCCGAGAACGGAAUCAAACAUCAGGAGGAUUAAUUUCAUCAUUUAACCUGAAAUCUGAACUCUAGUGAAGGAGGAAACAUGAAUAAUAAAAUCCAGGAGGGAAUCGUCGUCUACGUUGUUUUUUCCACGGAGCCACUGAAGACGUCACGUAUCAGAUGGCCAACAGUCUGAUGAACACUAAGUUCUUCCGGAGGGACCGUGGAACGCUCGGUGUCGCUGCUCGACCUCCCAGGCAGCGUUCUCUUCGUCCCCCAGGACUCGCUGCUGGCCGAACCGCCGGUCCGGAGGAGGAUCCGGUUCAGAGGCGGCUGUGAGCUCUGGAGAGCCGCUCAGCUGCUGUCCGGCCUGGUGUCGGCCUGCAGGGAGCUCAUGGCGGCCUCCAACAAAUGCACCGAGGCGGGAGUGAAGGCGGAACAAGGCAUCUACGGACAGAAACAGGAGCUGGUCCUGAAGGCUGAGGAGCCGCUGACGCUGCUGCUGGACUUCUGAGCUUCAGCAGCUUCUUCAGUCUGCAGAACAAACAGGAUGCUUGUUGGGUUCCAGCAUCAAGGUGAACUCAUCGUUAUAAAGUUUCCAUGGAUUUAAGUUUUGGAACAUAAUGAGUUAAAAUCCCAACUUAUUUGCUUUUUAAGUUACAGAUUAUUUUAGCUGCAGUGCUGAGAUUAAAAACUGUAAUCAAUCAUCUCUUAAUACACGUUUGUUGAUGUUCAAUAAAAGCCAGAGAGAUGGAGCAUC